GACGAACGCUGGCGGCGUGCCUAAUACAUGCAAGUAGAACGCUGAAGGAGGAGCUUGCUCUUCUGGAUGAGUUGCGAACGGGUGAGUAACGCGUAGGUAACCUGCCUGGUAGCGGGGGAUAACUAUUGGAAACGAUAGCUAAUACCGCAUAAGAGUAGAUGUUGCAUGACAUUUACUUAAAAGGUGCAAUUGCAUCACUACCAGAUGGACCUGCGUUGUAUUAGCUAGUUGGUGGGGUAACGGCUUACCAAGGCGACGAUACAUAGCCGACCUGAGAGGGUGAUCGGCCACACUGGGACUGAGACACGGCCCAGACUCCUACGGGAGGCAGCAGUAGGGAAUCUUCGGCAAUGGACGGAAGUCUGACCGAGCAACGCCGCGUGAGUGAAGAAGGGUUUCGGAUCGUAAAGCUCUGUUGUAAGAGAAGAACGAGUGUGAGAGUGGAAAGUUCACACUGUGACGGUAUCUUAUCAGAAAGGGACGGCUAACUACGUG
This 495-nucleotide ribosomal RNA is filed under the name uncultured bacterium. Its description in RNAcentral is "partial 16S ribosomal RNA". It matches the Rfam family "Bacterial small subunit ribosomal RNA", at positions 28 to 507 of the family's 1533-position model. The record is from RNAcentral.